RNAcentral lists this ribosomal RNA (712 nucleotides) under uncultured Sebacinales. Its description in RNAcentral is "eukaryotic LSU rRNA". It matches the Rfam family "Eukaryotic large subunit ribosomal RNA", at positions 1 to 660 of the family's 3401-position model. Lineage: Eukaryota; Fungi; Basidiomycota; Agaricomycetes; Sebacinales. The record is from RNAcentral.
GCUCAAAGCUCACGUCAUCUUAUGACAUCUCGACAUUGACCUCAAUCGGUGGACUACCCGCUGAACUUAAGCAUAUCAAUAAGCGGAGGAAAAGAAACUAACAAGGAUUCCCCUAGUAACGGCGAGUGAAGAGGGAAAAGCUCAAAUUUUGAAUCUGGUGUCUUUGACUCCCGAGUUGUAAUCUAGAGAAGUGUUUUCCGUGUCGGACCGUGCACAAGUUCCCUGGAACGGGGCGUCAUAGAGGGUGAGAAUCCCGUAUAUGGCAUGGACUACCGAUGCUUUUGUGAUACACUCUCAACGAGUCGAGUUGUUUGGGAAUGCAGCUCAAAAUGGGUGGUAAAUUCCAUCUAAAGCUAAAUAUUGGCGAGAGACCGAUAGCGAACAAGUACCGUGAGGGAAAGAUGAAAAGCACUUUGGAAAGAGAGUGAAACAGUACGUGAAAUUGUUGAAAGGGAAGCGUUUGAAGUCAGUCAUAUCUGGUGGGAUUCAGCCGGGCUUUUGCCAGGUGUACUUCUCGUACGAUGGGUCAGCAUCAAUUUCGACCGGGGGAAAAAGGCAUUGGGAAUGUGGCUGUCUUCGGGCAGUGUUAUAGCCCUUUGUUGUAUGCCUCGGUUGGGAUUGAGGAUCGCAGCGCGCCUCAUGGCCAGGGGUUCGCCCCUUGAUACGCGCUUAGGAUGCUGGCAUAAUGGCUUUAAGCGACCCGUCUUGAAAC